This 497-nucleotide ribosomal RNA is filed under the name uncultured bacterium. RNAcentral describes it as "partial 16S ribosomal RNA". It matches the Rfam family "Bacterial small subunit ribosomal RNA", at positions 28 to 507 of the family's 1533-position model. The record is from RNAcentral.
GACGAACGCUGGCGGCGUGCCUAAUACAUGCAAGUUGAGCGCUGAAGGUUGGUACUUGUUCCGCCGGGGUGAGCAGCGGACGGGUGAGUAACGCGUGGAGAAUCUGCCUUUGAGCGGGGGACAACAUCUGGAAACGAAUGCUAAUACCGCAUAAAAACUUUAAACACAUGUUUUAAGAUUGAAAGAUGCAUUUGCAUCACUCAAUGAUGAUACCGCGUUGUAUUAGCUAGUUGGUGAGGUUAAGGCUCACCAAGGCGAUGAUACAUAGCCGACCUGAGAGGGUGAUCGGCCCCAUUGGGAACUGGGCCACGCCCAAACCUCCAAGGGGAGGAGCAGUAGGGGAUCUUCGGCAAUUGACGAAAGUCUGACCGAGCAAAGCCGGGUGAGUGGAGAAGGGUCUCGGAUCGUAAAACUCUUUUGGUAGGGGAGGACGUUGGUGGGAGUGAAAAGCUCAUCAAGUGACGGUAACUAACCAGAAAGGGACGGCUAACUACGUG